RNAcentral lists this small nuclear RNA (107 nucleotides) under Castor canadensis (American beaver). The record is from RNAcentral. Lineage: Eukaryota; Metazoa; Chordata; Mammalia; Rodentia; Castoridae.
GGGUUCGCUUCAGCAGCACAUAUACUAAAAUUGGAACGAUACAGAGAAGAUCAGCCUGGCCCCUGCUCAAGGAUGACACGCAAAUUCAUGAAGCAUUCCAUAUUUUU